RNAcentral lists this ribosomal RNA (224 nucleotides) under uncultured bacterium. RNAcentral's name for it is "partial 16S ribosomal RNA". It matches the Rfam family "Bacterial small subunit ribosomal RNA", at positions 328 to 539 of the family's 1533-position model. The record is from RNAcentral.
ACGCUCGACACCUACGGGAGGCAGCAGUUAGGAAUAUUCGUCAAUGGGGGAAACCCUGAACGAGCAAUGCCGCGUGAGUGAUGAAGGCCCUAUGGGUUGUAAAACUCUGUUGUUGAGAAAGAAUUGUAAGAUUAGGAAAUGAGUCUUACUUGACGGUACUCUUCAAGAAAGCCACGGCUAACUACGUGCCAGCAGCCGUGGUAAUCUGAGCGGGCUGGCAAGGC